UGUCAGGUAGUCUAGUGGCUAGAAAUUCACUUUUAAAGUGAAUAAGUGGGGUGUCCGGGGUUCGAACCCCGGUCCUGCAU
This 80-nucleotide transfer RNA is filed under the name Medicago truncatula (barrel medic). RNAcentral's name for it is "tRNA-OTHER". Lineage: Eukaryota; Viridiplantae; Streptophyta; Magnoliopsida; Fabales; Fabaceae. The record is from RNAcentral.